Long non-coding RNA from Corythoichthys intestinalis (scribbled pipefish), 452 nucleotides. RefSeq lists it as uncharacterized. NCBI's taxonomy places the organism in Eukaryota, Metazoa, Chordata, Actinopteri, Syngnathiformes, Syngnathidae. The record is from RefSeq and is a predicted model, not a curated record. The transcript has 3 exons.
GUUCCCGCUUUGAAAGCGGCCAAAAUAUCGUCUGCCUUUGUUCACUGCCGGUACAUUAAUGUCAAACACAUGCCUAGGAACCUUUUCCAAGCAUUAGUUUCAGUCGUGUCCGACCAGAGACAACACCGCUUCCUUUUCCGGACCGUGAUAUUCAAGAUGAAAGCCACGUCGAAGUCCUGCGCACCAACUUGACUAAUUCAUUCAAUUCAAGAAAUACAAAUGAAUGCAGCAGCUUUUUACGCAAAGCUAGCACACCGGGCCAAACCACCUCCUGUUGAGAGUGCUCUCAGUGAGAGUGAGGGCAGCGAUGAGGAGUACAAUCCUAAUAAAGCAAGUGAAGGUGAUGAAAGCAGCAGCAAUGACUCCACAGUGGACAUUAGCAGCAGUGAGGAAGAUGAUGAUGAUCCGCCUCAUCCACCUCCAACCACCAGUGCUGCACCUGCAAGACUUGC